This 254-nucleotide ribosomal RNA is filed under the name uncultured bacterium. RNAcentral's name for it is "partial 16S ribosomal RNA". It matches the Rfam family "Bacterial small subunit ribosomal RNA", at positions 524 to 776 of the family's 1533-position model. The record is from RNAcentral.
UACGGGGGGAGCAAGCGUUGUUCGGAUUUACUGGGCGUAAAGGGCGCGUAGGCGGCCACCGCAAGUCAGUUGUGAAAUCUCUGGGCUUAACCCAGAAAGGUCAACUGAUACUGCGGGGCUAGAGUGCAGAAGGGGCAACUGGAAUUCUCGGUGUAGCGGUGAAAUGCGUAGAUAUCGAGAGGAACACCUGCGGCGAAGGCGGGUUGCUGGGCUGACACUGACGCUGAAGCGCGAAAGCGUGGGGAGCGAACAGG